Molecule: ribosomal RNA, 880 nt
Filed under: uncultured bacterium
Lineage: Bacteria
Description: bacterial SSU rRNA
Rfam family: Bacterial small subunit ribosomal RNA
Source: RNAcentral
AGGAUGAACGCUGGCGGCGUGCUAAUACAUGCAAGUCGAACGAGGUGCUUUUGUAGCAAUACGAGAGUAUCCUAGUGGCGAACGGGUGAGUAACGCGUUGGUGACCUACCCCAAAGUGUGGGAUAACAGUCCGAAAGGAUUGCUAAUACCGCAUGUGGUCUACGGAUUUAGAAACUGAUGACUAAAGGAGCAAUUCGCUUUGGGAGGGACCUGCGUCCCAUCAGCUAGUUGGUGAGGUAAUGGCUCACCAAGGCUACGACGGGUAGGGGACCUGAGAGGGUGGCCCCCCACAAUGGAACUGAAACACGGUCCAUACACCUACGGGUGGCAGCAGUAGGGAAUAUUGCACAAUGGGCGAAAGCCUGAUGCGGCAACGCCGCGUGUGCGAUGAAGGCCUUCGGGUCGUAAAGCACUUUUCUGAGAGAUGAGAAAGGACAGUAUCUCAGGAAUAAGUCUCGGCUAACUACGUGCCAGCAGCCGCGGUAAAACGUAGGAGGCGAGCGUUAUCCGGAUUCACUGGGCGUAAAGCGCGUGCAGGUGGCUCGGUAAGUUGGGCGUGAAAUCUCCCGGCUCAACUGGGAGAGGUCGUUCAAUACUACCGAGCUAGAGAGCAGAAGAGGAAGAUGGAAUUCCCGGUGUAGUGGUGAAAUGCGUAGAUAUCGGGAGGAACACCAGUGGCGAAGGCGAUCUUCUGGUCUGUUUCUGACACUCAGACGCGACAGCUAGGGUAGUAAACGGGAUUAGAGACCCCGGUAAUCCUAGCCGUAAACGAUGUGAACUUGGCGUUGGUGGGUUAAACUCCAUCAGUGCCGAAGCAAACGCGAUAAGUUCACCGCCUGGGGACUACGGCCGCAAGGUUAAAACUCAAAGGAAUUGACGG